GGUAGAAAAACAUUAUCAUAUUAGAAAAUAGGGUUGUUUAAUUUCUUUGUAUUUGCCCAUGUUACUGCGUUGGUGUUUCCUUUGAAUGUACAUGGUAUUAUAAUGAAUUUAGAGAGGAUCUACUAUUUUUUAAACAAGAGUGCUCCUGUUAAUUAGUUACAAUGUAACUAUAGUCUAGGAGUUAGGUGUAUUAAAUAUUAUUUGUGUAGUUUGACCUGGUUUUUAUAAAAUAAAAAAUGGGCUCUUGUUAAGGACUCUUCUCCAGUAAAGGAUUUUGAUAUAUUAUAGAAAUAUAGAAUAAGCAUGAGGGAGAAAGAAGAGAUUAAAAAAGGUGCCAGCAAUCGCGGUUAAACCAUUUAUCAUCAAGCCAAUGAACUUAAAUCGUAUAAAAGUGAUAGUAAAAUAAAAAACGUAAUUAAUUCACAAUAGAAACGGUAAAAUGUUCUAUAUAUAAGAUAUAAAUCUUAUUGUGGUGAUAUCUUAAUAAUGGUUUUAAAAAUAUAAUCUACUAAGGCUGCUUUCGAAGACAGGGAUUUGUACCCAAUUAUUAAAGCUUUUUAUUUGGUGUACGGGUACUACGAGCUAUUAUGCUUAAAAACCGAAGAGGUUGGCGGUGUUUCAAAUCCGGUUAGGGGAACUUGGCGAUUAAAUCGAUAAGCCUCGAGAAUUUUACCUUUAGUUUUCUUUAUAUACCGCCGUUGAGAUCUGCCUUAGGUGGAUAAGAACUUAUACUUAAAAUAAAUAAUAGUUAGAUUUAGUGUAAUAUAAUAUUAGUGUUAUUAGAGUAAUUUUUAUAGAAAUUCAGGUAAACGUGUAGGGUCUAAAGGGUUUAGCUGAGUUACAAUUUUUAUAAAAUACGGAUAUAUAUAGUUAAAUACAUAUCUAUUUAUAUUGAAGGUGUACUUAUUAGUAAAAAUUUUUUAUAAAAGAAUUUUGAAUAGAGUUAUGAGAUGCGUACAAAUCGCCCGGCACUCUCAUAUAAAGAAGUUGAGAUAAGUCGUAACAUAGUAAUGCUAGUAGAAACUGGUGUUAAGUAAUAUUUAUUAUUAUGUAUUUUAAUAAAAUACUUUUCCUAAUUAGGAGGAUUAAGGUUUAAUUACACACAAUAUUAAUUUAGGGUAAUAGUAACAUAAUUUAUGGGGUUGGUGUUAAAAACAAAUUAGUAAAUUUAAAUAGUAAAAUUAGUAGUUUUAGAGUAGAUGCGGGUACUAGGUACUUGCGAACGGGUGGACCAAGUUUUAAAAGAUGA
This 1249-nucleotide ribosomal RNA is filed under the name Ruditapes philippinarum (Manila clam). RNAcentral describes it as "12S ribosomal RNA". Lineage: Eukaryota; Metazoa; Mollusca; Bivalvia; Venerida; Veneridae. The record is from RNAcentral.